RNAcentral lists this transfer RNA (72 nucleotides) under Camelus bactrianus (Bactrian camel). It matches the Rfam family "tRNA". From Rfam's summary of the family: Transfer RNA (tRNA) molecules are approximately 80 nucleotides in length. The record is from Rfam by way of RNAcentral. Lineage: Eukaryota; Metazoa; Chordata; Mammalia; Artiodactyla; Camelidae. RNAcentral also lists the same sequence under 2 other names.
GAGGAUAGAGCUCAGCGCUAGAGCACAUACUUAGCAUGCAUGCGGUCCUGGGUUCAAACCCCAGUACCUCCA